UCGCACAACAUGACAAUGAGGAAGCUAACCACUUGAGAUUACUAAUUUAUCGUGCAGGUGAAUUCGAAGAGCAAAGUGAUUGUUCAAACAAAUAGUUCAAAUCAAUGCCUAAUAGGACUUGUCAUCUCAGCCGGGAAUGCUAACGAACUUACCAGAGAGUUAUUUGCAAAAUCUGUGGCUUGUUCACCAUGAACAAAGAGAGUUUGACUGAGGAGCAGUGUGAAAAAUGGUUCCAGAUUCGUUGGUGUAAAGGGUAUUACAAAGGCUCGUGCCCAAGUUUGGCAUGGAGAUUUAAUGUGCCAAAUGGCAGUGAUGAUGAAAAAUGAGUGAUUGUCAUUUCAUCAAGCACUCAUGGAUGAAUUUUGUUGGGAACCUAAAGGCUCAUAAUGCAGUUUAGAGCAUUUAGGAUGCCAGUAACACUUGCCACCAUUAUGAAAAUUUACAAAAACACUGACCAAGAAUGUCACCAAAAAAGAUUUCCUGUCAGGGUGUUACAUCUGAAGCUGGAGCUUUUAAUGAAUAGAAGACCAAGAGAAAGAAAAAGGCAAAGUAGACCAAGAAAAUACUUUGUGUAUAUGCAUACAUUAGAAGACAAUAUUUAUUUGUUAAUCCUUUGCCUUGCAACUAUGGGCAAGGUGAGCCAAACUUGCAUAUUCUGCAAGUGUCUCUAUAGUAAUUUGAUAUCAUCUUUUCAAUCCUUAAGUAUCUUUUAAGAAUGCUUUGCUGGAGGACUUUGAGGAAGGAGUGCACUCAAUGAGUAGUCACUGUGGCUCCCCCUCCUUUGGGUUUCUUCUAUAAACCUGUUUGGCCUCUGAAGCAUAACUGUUUUAGGUACAUGUACCAUGUUAAUGAUGGCUGUGUUGAAGGUUUCCCAAAUAUCCUCUUUUCUGUUGAAAUGCAUCAAAUAUUGCUGGUGAUCUCCAUUCUGAUUCACAGACAUUUAUUCAAUGUCAGUACCCUAUGGCUAUCAUUAAUGGCACUUUCUUUUAAGUAAAAGGAGAAGAGAAAAUGUUUUGGAUCAUACCAUGAUGACUUGAGUGUUUUAUCAGUCCCAUCUGUUGUCUAAAGCAAGAAAGCAGGCUUGGGAGAAAAAGUUGCCAUUCUGGAUCAGUGUGGGAAGCUGAGCUAAAACCAAUGAUAAUUUAGCUGCCGCAUGAAAUACCUCAAGAUUGGUCUUUUGGUCAGCUGGCAGUUCAUAUGCUUUCUCUCAGGUAUUGUUAAGACCAUCAAAAUGACUGCCACCUACAUGCAUCUUGAAAAGCACUCAAUUUCAAAGUUUUCUUUGACUUGUGGACUUGGUAUUGUAUACUGGGAGCUAAAUUUAGCCAAUUUUUUUGGCAGCAUUAUCCUGGCAGUUAUGGAAAACAAAAUCAAGG
Pocillopora verrucosa is the source of this 1376-nucleotide non-coding RNA. NCBI's taxonomy places the organism in Eukaryota, Metazoa, Cnidaria, Anthozoa, Scleractinia, Pocilloporidae. The record is from RefSeq and is a predicted model, not a curated record.